RNA transcript from Pongo pygmaeus (Bornean orangutan), 7033 nucleotides. It is a transcript of the gene named serine protease 55, with no coding region annotated. The record is from RefSeq and is a predicted model, not a curated record. The transcript has 5 exons. NCBI's taxonomy places the organism in Eukaryota, Metazoa, Chordata, Mammalia, Primates, Hominidae.
UUUAGCAUCCUUUUGUUGUUUAAUGUCCUCCAGAUCCAUUUUUUGUACUUUUUUUCCUGUGGGAUACUAUGAAAUUGAGUUGUAUUUAUAAUCCUGGAGGCCAUGAGAGUUGGUGGGUUGAGUUUUGAAGAUAAUUAGCAUCCUUCUAUAAAGUAACUGCUUCGUAUGAGAUCAUUCCAGGACUCUCAAGCAGGAAAUGUCCAGAGUUUUCAGAAGAGAGGAAAGGUUUUUUUGCUGGUAAGUGAGACUCAGUGGGAUUUGUGUGUUCAAGGUAUUUGAAUACUGUAUUAAUCGUGCCUUUUUGUGUUUUUGAAGUUUUUGUAUUUUCAAUGUUGUGUAUUUUGAUGUUUGACAUCUGGGACCUUGUUCAUCCUAGAGUGUCUGCCCAUCCCAGGGCUGGACAAUUCCUAGACAGAGUAAAAGACUCAUCUGCAAGUGCACUUUUCAUAUGCAACCCAACCAAUGCAAAGCGACUAUCCACCAAAUACCUCCUUUAUUGUGCUCUCUCUCCCCUAAUCACCAGAGCCAAGUGCCAGGCAACUGGCAGCAAUCUCUAUCCUCCAGUGCCUGCUGAAUUAUCCACACUAGCCAAUCCUCAGCCUGUGGAGCCUGCCUCACCCAUUCCUUCCUGCAAAGCCCACAGUAAAGACUCUGCCUACAUGCUCUUCCCUGCUCCUUCUGCCUCUGGUGCUUCCCCAUGUGGUUCUGCAUGCUCCUCCUCCCAGAAACUGCCUGAUUGAAAAAAUUCUGCUCAACGAUGAUUGCAUGAAGAAUGGACAGUCCACCCUCUCAUCCAGAUGGCCCGAAAGGUGCCCUUGGUGUCCAUCAGACUGUCAGACUGCUGUUUACUGGGGCAGCUCCCAGGGUCUCUGCUCUUCUUUUGAGUCUGCACCACCGACAUCCUUUUAAGCUUCAAUUGGAGCUCCUGAUGCUUGCGAGCAAAGGUUGCCAUUAUGAAGAAAUUGCUGUGCUCAUCAACUUACUUUGAACCAAGCUGUUCUUUACUGAAUGCCCUGAAGUCAUUGGAAAGUCACAUGACCUUGCUUUAAAGUGAAGAAUUAUAAUUGUUUCUCUGAAGAUGAGGGAGCUGCACGAAAGAUGUCAGCCGUGUGUAUGCUAUUGAGAACUGGACGGGAGUGAAAGAGAGUGAUGAAGACAACAGUCUAUAUAGCAUCUCAUCUCCUAUUACCUAUUAGCUCAGCGCUUCAUGUGCAUUACCUCACUGAAUUCUCGCAACAGCCCAAAAAGGUAGGAACUCUUACUAUUCCCAUGUUACAGAUGAGGAAAUCGGAAAAGGCACAGGCACAGGGGAUACCUCUUGCCAAGGUCACACAGGCAGUUCAAGUAGGGGAGCCUGGAGGGAGACUGGGUCAUCUGACUUCAGAGCCUGCACCCCUAACCACUGCCCCUCGUUGCCUCCCUUUGGUUACAGAGGACCUGUUCUUUUAAGAUCUUACAGACGAUCUGGACUGGGUUGAAUAGUAUCGUCCCAAAAUUCCCGUCCACCCAGAACCUCAGAAUGUGACCUCAUUUGGAAAUAGAGUCUUUGCAGAUAUAAUUAGUUAAAUUAAGAUGAGGUCAUGGUGGAUUGAAAUAGACCCUAAUCCAGUGACCAAGCAGAAGUAAUUCCUCCGACUGCCCCAGAACCCAUCGGGGCAGGCAGCUGGGGGUGUGGGGGCGGCCCUGGAAUAGGGGCUGUGUGGUACGUGAGGACCUGGCUGCAGUGGUUGUCGGGCUGCAGUGGUUGUGGGGCUGAUGGGAAACUACUAAAGUUUGGGGAAAGCAAGUAGAAUUUCCUAAGAACAUAAUGGGUGGAGAGGGGAAAACCUGUGGUGGCUGUGAAGGUCCUGAUGCCGUGUAUGUCUAAUUAAUAUCGUCUGAUGGCCAUGAAUUUACUGUAAAAAUAGAACAUGCAUUAACUUCAAGCAUGAUAAAAGCCAUGUUAAGCUUAAAAAGCUUAAAAGCUUUUUAAAACAGCUCCCAGGCCAGGCGUGGUGGCUCACACCUGUAAUCUCAGCACUUUGGGAGGCCAAGGUGGGUGGAUCACCUGAGGUCAGGAGUUCAAGACCAGCCUGGCCAACAUGGUGAAACCCUGUCUCUACUAAAAAUAAAAAUAAAAAAAAUUUAGCCAGGCAUGUUGGUGUGUGCUUGUAAUCCCAGAUACUAGGGGGACUGAGGCAGGAGGAUCACUUGAACCUGGGAGGCGGAGGUUGCAAUGAGCCGAGAUCAUGCCAUUGCACUCCAGCCUGGGCAACAGAGCAAAACUCCGUCUCAAAAAAAAAAAAAAAAAAAAAAGCUCCCAGCAUGUGGCAGAGAUUUGAUAUUCAUUGACCAAUAAAUUGGCUGGACAUGGAACAAGGCUACAGAAAUUAUCAGGCUCGAGAAGAUGGAUCCAUAGUAGAUGUUAAUGCACCGCCUUUGCUGUAGCUGCAUGAUGUCAUGGUUUUGUGUUAGACCUGGUAGGUGCUGCAUAGUCCUUCAGAAGAUUUGCAAAGCGAUAGCAGGAGAUGACCCCUUUGAGGGUCACACACUGGCGUCAACACUGCCUAACAUCUCCACCUUGACAGCCGGGUAGCUCUCCUGAAGGGGUUCGUUACAAUGGCCAUUCACUCUGGAAAACUGGUACUGAAGACAGACAGUAAACUCUCUCUCUCUCUCCCUUUCUCUCCCACACGUACUUUAACGUCUGGGUUGUAUGGGAGCCAUGAUUUGAGCCUGGUCAGGGACCACCUGCAUCUGAUUGACCCGAGGGACUUCUUAGCAAUGCAGUUCCCACCCGCGGAUCCCACCCCGUGACUACCGAGUCAGCACGCCUGGAAACUGACUUUGAGAGCAAGCGCCCUAGGGGAUUCUCCUGCCCACUGAGGAUGGAGGGCCCUGGAGAGGCACAUCCACAAGGACUCCCAGAGACCCACGUGCCAGGAGCUGCAGGCCCAGGGCAGCAGCAGGGCGACCCGCAGCAGGAGGGCUGCCCUUCAUCCCUCCAUCCUUUCUUCAGCCCUGGUCCUCCCAUCAGCCACAGAGAGGCUUCUGGUGUGGAAGGGGGGCUGGGCGGGGCUUCACUCUCCACGCCUGCUAUCUCCCAGCCCAGCCUGACUGCCCAGGUCACAAUAGGGAAGGGGUGGAGCCGCCACAGUCCAGACAAAGCCGGGAUCACCCUGAACCCUGUGGGGUGUGGAGGUCAGGAUGGAGCUGGGGCAGAGAGGCUCGGAGUGGGAGGACUCCCCAGCCAGCUGUGCUCCUAUAAGAGGCAGCGUCUCAGCUUCAUGAAUGUGUCAGGACAAAAUAGCUGGAAGCGCGCUCUAGAAAUAGCCUUGGGGAAUGAGAAGGACUCAGGCUGCUGUUCCAAACCGCUCAAGUGAAACAGCAGAGAGGGCACUGGCUGUGGGGCCUUAGCGGAGUCUCUUAGCUUUGUGCCUCUGAUGACUGCCCUGUAAAAUGUGGACGAUGAUAGUGCAGCACUAUAUGGUUGAGAGGAGUAACGAGCUAAUGGGUGUAUCUGAGCACAGGAUGUGGCAAAUACCAAGCCCACGAUUUUAGUUCUCCCAUGUCAUCUCUACUAAUGUCUUCCUGCAAAGGAAGGCACCUUGGCCAGCAGUUUCUAUGAACAAGACACGUCCAAAAUACAGAUCCAUGCCUGGAUCAGCUGCAGGGUAGCUUUUGGUGGUGCCAUUCUUUCAUUUCUUUGUUCGUGAGGUCAUCCGGAGCUCUUUGGAGCACUUUCUACUUGCUGGGCUUGGAGGACAAUGCAAAGAUGACCAAUAGAUGUUCUCUCUCUUUGAAGCUCAUAAUCAUCUGGAGAGACACACUGGCAGAGAGACUACCUUAAUACAAUGGGGUAAGGGUAUCAUUGGAAGCCAGGGGAGGGGCACGGGUGUGUGGUGGGUGGGAGAAGAGGCGAGGGGGAAAAUUGUCUAGAGGAAAUAAAGAUUGUCUGGGCUAAGCCAAUUCCCAAAGGGAAAGCCCUGGGGGGAGGGCAGGAAUGCAUUUGUUACAGUUUAAGUGAUGGUCCCCCAAAUUCCUAUGUUGAUGUUCUAACCCCCAGACCUCAGGAUGUGACUUUAUUUGGAAGUGGGUCCUUGCAGAUGUAAUUGAUUAAGAGGAGGCCAUGCUAGAGUAGGACAGGCCCCCAAUCCAAUAUGACUGGUGAUCUUAUAGAAAGGGGCCAUUUGGACACACCCACACAGGGAAAGCCCCAUGUGAAGACUGGAGUUGUGCUGCCACAAGCCAAGAAUGUACCAGAAGCCAGGAGGGAGAAGUGGAACAGAUCCUUCCUAGCACCUUCAGAGGGAGCCUGGUCCUGCUAACAUUGGGAUUUUGGACUUCUGGCCUCCAGAGCUCCUGACAAUAUUUCUGUUGUUCUAAGCCACACAGUUUGUGGAACUUUGUUACAGCAACCCUGAAACUCAAGCAGCAUUCUAUCUGGGCAAAGGUACAGAGGUGUACGGGAACUGCGGGAACUUCUGAGUUAAAUCAGAAUUGUUGUUUUGGUAGUUCAAAAAUAGGAGAAUAUUGACAAAUGUGCAUGGUUCAAGUUAAGCUAUCAAGUUGGAAUAAUGUACCAGGUUGAGUGGUAGAUGGGGGGGGGGGGGUCAGUUUACUGAAUAAAGCUCAAAUCCGAAUAAACCAUCUUCCCUGCUAUGCGGCCAGUGAAUCGUUCUGAUAAGAAAUCACCGUGGAUGUGACAGGUGUAUGAAGAAUGGCUAGUAUUACUAAUUAAUGGCAAGGAGCUCUGGUUGUGAACAUUUUCCGAAAUUCCAUACAUAAGGGAAGUUUGCAAACAUUUUCCAAAAUUCUAUCCAUAUUCUAUUUUAGGGAAAAUGACUAUGGGACUUUCUUUCCCCAGCUGUUUUGAGGCUUUAAAAUUUAUCUUAGAACCUCUUGGAACUAUCCCAUCGGAAUAACUGGAAGACAGAUAAAAUAUUAGGCAGUUCAUUCAUUUUAUUGGACGUAGAGUUUUGUCAGAACCAGCAUUUACUGUACUUCUCAUAGCUGUAAGCAAAGCAUUAGAAUUCAGCAACCUAAUGCUUUUCUUUUCUCUGCCAAGCGGGGUCCUGAAAUGGGAGAGAAAGCCUCCUUGCCUCUGUUCUUUGGAAACAGCAUGUAUUUGGGGUCAGUAGAGCAAAACAUCUCAUUGCUGCUCUAAGUGUUUGCAAACUUUUGGGCACUGGAGGGGACAUGCAUAUGAGAUGGAACAGGGCAUAGAUAAAAGAAUUCCUGCAUUACCCACCAUCCUGCCCAAAGAAACCACACAACUUCCACGGCAGUCCCAGACUUCAGAAAGGGAGAACACAGCAAGCACCUGCAUUAUCUUCAUUUAGACCCCAAAUCAUCCAAAACUUGCCUAGCACAGCAGUAGAUGAGUUCACAUUUUAAUCAAAACAAGAUUGCAUGGAAACAUACAUCCACAUGAAAACCAGUACCCAGUGUUUAUGGUUGCUUUCUUCUUAAUUGCAAAAAACUGAUAACAACCUAAAUGUCCAUCGUCAGAGGAAGCGAUGAACAAACUGUGGUGCAUUCACACAACAGUGGUGCUACACAGCAGCGAAGAGGAACAGCCGACUGACACGUAUAACAACUCGGAUCUCAGGAGCAUCGCACGUAGUUGGAGAAGCCAGACACGAGCCACUGCACACUGUAUGAUUCCAUGGCAUUCUGGGAAAGGCAAAACUCCAAGCACAGAGAACGCAUGACUUGUUGCCCAGGUUUGCGGUUCCAGGAAGAGGAUGGAUUACUAAGAAGCACAGGGGAAUGUUUUGGGGUGAUGAAAAUGUUCUAUGUCUUUUUUUUUUUUUUUUUUUUGUGAAAUGGAGUUUCACUCUUGUCGCCCAGGCUGGAGAGCAAUGGCAUGAUCUUGGCUCACUGCAACUUCCACCUCCCAGAUUCAAGCAAUUCUCCAGCCUCAGCCUCUUAAAUAACUGAGAUUACAGGCACAUGACUCCCCGCCCAGCUAAUUUUUGUAUUUUUAGUAGAGACAGGUUUUCACCAUGUUGGUCAGGCUGGUCUCAGGUGAUCCGCCCACCUCAGCCUCCCAAAGUGCUGAGAUUACAGGCAUGAGGCACCACAUUCGGCCAAAGUUCUAUGUCUGGUCACAGCCAUUUACAUUCAUCAGAAUUCACAGAACCAUCCAUCUUGAAGUGGUGAAUUUGCUGAAUAGAAAUUAUACCUCAAAGACCCGACGUUCAAAAAUGCCUUUGUGUUUUGUAAGCUUCAACCCUCGCCCAGUGGGAACCACAAAGGCAUUGCCCAAUUUGUUGAAAGCAUUGCUGUUGUAACUUCAACAUGUGGGGAGAAGUUAUGUUUUCAUACUGUCUUUGUCUGCUCUGCCCACCGUUACAAAACACCAUAGACUGGGUGGAUUGAUCAACACACAUUUAUUUCCCACAGUGGAGGCUGGAAGUCCCCAAGACCCAGGUUCCUGGGGAGGGCUUUCUUCCUAGCCUGCAGGUGACCAGCAUCUGCUGUGUCCUCUUGUGACUCUUCCUCAGUUCCUGUGUCAGAGGGGUCAGGGAGACAAGCGGGCAUCCAUCUUAUAAGUGUCCUCAUAAGGCCACCAUCCUGUCGACCAGGGCACCACCCUAUACCUCAGUUAACAUUAAUGACUUCCUUGGUGGCCCCCUGUCCCGUUGCAGCCAGGGUUAGCGCUUCAGCGUGCAAAGUGAAAGGCCACACAAAUCUUUGUUCAUAACAAAUGCCCAGUGGACAGGACACUCGGGUGCCCUGAGGCUGCAGGAGCUGAGGGUGAUCUUGCUCGGGUACUUCUGGUGGUAACUGCUGUAUGGGAAAUAGUCUGUUCCUCCUGGCUGGUGUCAGAAGUAACCAGGCUGAAGCCAUGCUCUGAAAGAACCUGUGCAGGGAGAGAAAGACCUGUUUGAGACCGACCUGAAAGCUCUCCCAGGGGAAAGAGCAGCUGUGCCCUAAUUCUUCCCUGUACGGGGACAGUUGGAUCUUUGCAGGCAAUGCAACAGAGGUGCAACUCCAGAUGUAGCGAUACCACUUUGGACAGGGGUGCCAGGUGUGGGCCCCAGACUUU